Molecule: microRNA, 23 nt
Filed under: Alligator mississippiensis (American alligator)
Lineage: Eukaryota; Metazoa; Chordata; Crocodylia; Alligatoridae
Description: ami-miR-9600-5p
Source: miRBase by way of RNAcentral
UUUAGACAAGCUGUUGAGCCCAG